UACGUAGGUGGCAAGCGUUGUCCGGAGUUAUUGGGCGUAAAGCGCGCGCAGGCGGUGCGGUAAGUCUAUGGUGAAAGCGCUCGGCUUAACUGGGCGAGGGCCGUGGAGACUGCCGGACUGGAGGGAGCAGAGGCGAGUGGAAUUCCGGGUGUAGUGGUGAAAUGCGUAGAGAUCCGGAGGAACACCAGUGGCGAAGGCGGACUCGCUGGCUCAACCGUGACGCCUGAGGCGCGAAAGCGUGGGGAGCGAACCGGGAGUAAGAUGACCCCGAGUAG
Molecule: ribosomal RNA, 275 nt
Filed under: uncultured bacterium
Lineage: Bacteria
Description: partial 16S ribosomal RNA
Rfam family: Bacterial small subunit ribosomal RNA
Source: RNAcentral